Molecule: ribosomal RNA, 253 nt
Filed under: uncultured bacterium
Lineage: Bacteria
Description: partial 16S ribosomal RNA
Rfam family: Bacterial small subunit ribosomal RNA
Source: RNAcentral
UACGUAGGGUGCGAGCGUUAAUCGGAAUUACUGGGCGUAAAGCGUGCGCAGGCGGUUCGCUAAGACCGAUGUGAAAUCCCCGGGCUCAACCUGGGAACUGCAUUGGUGACUGGCGGGCUAGAGUAUGGCAGAGGGGGGUAGAAUUCCACGUGUAGCAGUGAAAUGCGUAGAGAUGUGGAGGAGUACCGAUGGCGAAGGCAGCCCCCUGGGCCAAUACUGACGCUCAUGCACGAAAGCGUGGGGAGCAAACAGG